AAGGUUUUAGAAACAUGAAAAUCAUGUUACAGAUAUUUCUUUUGUUUAUUGGUGUAUUCAAACAGGAAAAUUUUAAAGACUGAUGAAAAGUGAAGUCUGGUCUGCAAUAUAUGAUUCUGAUGUUGCUUGUCAAACAUGUCAAAAGGAGAUUUGUGGUCAAAAUAACAUGAAGAGAUGUUGUAUGAUUGCCAAUUGGACAACUAUCCAACAGAGUCCAAAUUAAACUGAUUAAAGCAAUUAUAUGUCCAGGGAACAGCCUUCAAAAGUAAACAUAAGUCGUCUUGGUUGUGUGGAACAUAUGGAAUGUGAACUAGUAAACUUGACAAAGGUUUUAUGGAUGAUUUGGAAUAAUAUCUUAUAAUUUGUUUGAAAUAUG
RNAcentral lists this long non-coding RNA (376 nucleotides) under Mytilus galloprovincialis (Mediterranean mussel). Lineage: Eukaryota; Metazoa; Mollusca; Bivalvia; Mytilida; Mytilidae. The record is from RNAcentral.